Molecule: ribosomal RNA, 301 nt
Filed under: uncultured bacterium
Lineage: Bacteria
Description: partial 16S ribosomal RNA
Rfam family: Bacterial small subunit ribosomal RNA
Source: RNAcentral
CAGUAGCCGCGGGAAUACGGAGGGUGCAAGCGUUAAUCGGAAUUACUGGGCGUAAAGCGCACGCAGGCGGUCUGACAAGUCAGAUGUGAAAUCCCCGGGCUUAACCUGGGAACUGCAUUUGAAACUGUCAGGCUGGAGUCUUGUAGAGGGGGGUGGAAUUCCAGGUGUAGCGGUGAAAUGCGUAGAGAUCUGGAGGAAUACCGGUGGCGAAGGCGGCCCCCUGGACAAAGACUGACGCUCAGGUGCGAAAGCGUGGGGAGCAAACAGGAUUAGAGACCCCUGUAGUCCCUGUCUCUUAUAC